Ribosomal RNA from Pteropus vampyrus (large flying fox), 120 nucleotides. The record is from Ensembl. Lineage: Eukaryota; Metazoa; Chordata; Mammalia; Chiroptera; Pteropodidae.
UGUCUCGGCCAUGCUACCCUGAACAAGCUGGAUCCCAUCUGAUUUUGGAAGCUAAGCAGUGUCGUAUCUGGUUAGUACUUGGAUGGGAGACCACCUAGGAAGACCAGGUGCUGUAGACAU